Molecule: ribosomal RNA, 253 nt
Filed under: uncultured bacterium
Lineage: Bacteria
Description: partial 16S ribosomal RNA
Rfam family: Bacterial small subunit ribosomal RNA
Source: RNAcentral
UACGUAGGGUGCAAGCGUUGUCCGGAAUUAUUGGGCGUAAAGAGCUCGUAGGCGGUUUGUCGCGUCUGCUGUGAAAACUCAGGGCUUAACCCUGAGCCUGCAGUGGGUACGGGCAGACUAGAGUGUGGUAGGGGAGAUCGGAAUUCCUGGUGUAGCGGUGGAAUGCGCAGAUAUCAGGAGGAACACCAAUGGCGAAGGCAGCUCGCUGGGACGGUACUGACGCUGAGACGCGAAAGCGUGGGGAGCGAACAGG